RNAcentral lists this ribosomal RNA (514 nucleotides) under uncultured bacterium. Its description in RNAcentral is "bacterial SSU rRNA". It matches the Rfam family "Bacterial small subunit ribosomal RNA", at positions 791 to 1311 of the family's 1533-position model. The record is from RNAcentral.
UAGUCCACGCCGUAAACGAUGGUCACUCGCUGCAGGCGAUACACGGUCUGUGGCUGAGCGAAAGCAUUAAGUGACCCACCUGGGGAGUACGUUCGCAAGAAUGAAACUCAAAGGAAUUGACGGGGGCCCGCACAAGCGGUGGAGCAUGUGGUUUAAUUCGAUGAUACGCGAGGAACCUUACCAAGGCUUAAAUGUAGAUUGACAGGGGUGGAAACACCUUUUUCUUCGGACAGUCUACAAGGUGCUGCAUGGUUGUCGUCAGCUCGUGCUGUGAAGUGUCGGGUUAAGUCCCAUAACGAGCGCAACCCCUAUUUUCAGUUGCCAGCGAGUAAUGUCGGGGACUCUGGAGAAACUGCCACCGUAAGGUGAGAGGAAGGUGGGGAUGACGUCAAAUCAUCACGGCCCUUACGUCUUGGGCUACACACGUGCUACAAUGGUCGGUACAGAGGGCAGCCACUCCGCGAGGAGGAGCGAAUCCCCAAAACCGAUCUCAGUUCGGAUCGAAGUCUGCAAC